Molecule: ribosomal RNA, 801 nt
Filed under: Neobacillus niacini
Lineage: Bacteria; Bacillati; Bacillota; Bacilli; Caryophanales; Bacillaceae
Description: bacterial SSU rRNA
Rfam family: Bacterial small subunit ribosomal RNA
Source: RNAcentral
UGCAAGUCGAGCGAAUCAUUAAGGUGCUUGCACCUUAUUGGUUAGCGGCGGACGGGUGAGUAACACGUGGGCAACCUGCCUGUAAGACUGGGAUAACUUCGGGAAACCGGAGCUAAUACCGGAUAAUCCUUUUCCUCUCAUGAGGAAAAGCUGAAAGUCGGUUUCGGCUGACACUUACAGAUGGGCCCGCGGCGCAUUAGCUAGUUGGUGAGGUAACGGCUCACCAAGGCGACGAUGCGUAGCCGACCUGAGAGGGUGAUCGGCCACACUGGGACUGAGACACGGCCCAGACUCCUACGGGAGGCAGCAGUAGGGAAUCUUCCGCAAUGGACGAAAGUCUGACGGAGCAACGCCGCGUGAGCGAUGAAGGCCUUCGGGUCGUAAAGCUCUGUUGUUAGGGAAGAACAAGUAUCGGAGUAACUGCCGGUACCUUGACGGUACCUAACCAGAAAGCCACGGCUAACUACGUGCCAGCAGCCGCGGUAAUACGUAGGUGGCAAGCGUUGUCCGGAAUUAUUGGGCGUAAAGCGCGCGCAGGCGGUCCUUUAAGUCUGAUGUGAAAGCCCACGGCUCAACCGUGGAGGGUCAUUGGAAACUGGGGGACUUGAGUACAGAAGAGGAAAGCGGAAUUCCACGUGUAGCGGUGAAAUGCGUAGAGAUGUGGAGGAACACCAGUGGCGAAGGCGGCUUUCUGGUCUGUAACUGACGCUGAGGCGCGAAAGCGUGGGGAGCAAACGGGAUUAGAUACCCUGGUAGUCCACGCCGUAAACGAUGAGUGCUAAGUGUUAGAGGGUUUCCGCC